AUUGACGAGGCAGAACCUGGCCAUGCAAAAGAUCUAAGCCCUUUCACUAGGGGUUCAAAUCCCCUCGUCAAUU
RNAcentral lists this transfer RNA (73 nucleotides) under Hemisus marmoratus (mottled shovel-nosed frog). RNAcentral describes it as "tRNA-Leu". It matches the Rfam family "tRNA". From Rfam's summary of the family: Transfer RNA (tRNA) molecules are approximately 80 nucleotides in length. Their secondary structure includes four short double-helical elements and three loops (D, anti-codon, and T loops). Lineage: Eukaryota; Metazoa; Chordata; Amphibia; Anura; Hemisotidae. The record is from RNAcentral.